GAUACCUAUAUGGCCUAAUAUUAACAGGUUGGGCAGAAGGUACCAGGGGAAUACAGUGAUUAUGACUUCUGAAUGGUGGCAAGACCUUAGAGUCCUGAAAAAUACCAUGAUAUCUAUCCAGUAACAGCUGCAAUUCAGGUGGAUAAUUGACAACUGUAGGAGACCCUGCCAUAGCAGCACACUGAGUAACAGAAGAUGGCAGCUGAGAAAAUUGAAUAGAAAAUAAUGGAGUUUGGAAAUCCCCUCCAUAUUUAUGUCCCAAUUGAUCACCAUUCACACAAUUCAACUGCUGACACUGGGAAAUUGAAUCAGUAAUACCUUGCAACACUAUCCUCACUCCUGCCUUGUGAAAACUAACUGAAGAAUUUUGAAAAUCAAAUAAUAUGGGAUUAAAAGUCUUCAUGCAAUCCACACCCAAUAUCAUAUCAAAACUCCCCAUUUCCAACAGCCUAAAAUCAAAACUGAAAGAAUGUUUAUGAAUUUUCCAGUUAAAAGCAGGGCACAUGGUGGUACUUAAAAUUUUCCUUCCAUCAGCCACUGCUAGAGCAAAAACAUCGAAAGCCACCAAAGGCACCUUCAAUUCUCUUGCUACCUUAGCAUCUAGAAAACUGUUGGUGCUACUACUGUCAAUUAAAAUCA
Molecule: unclassified non-coding RNA, 639 nt
Filed under: Hevea brasiliensis (rubber tree)
Lineage: Eukaryota; Viridiplantae; Streptophyta; Magnoliopsida; Malpighiales; Euphorbiaceae
Source: RNAcentral